AUAUAGAAGUAUAUUCAUAAGCUUAUCUACACUUUCUUUUAACAACUCAUAUUUUUCUCACAUUUUUUUCAAUAUAUAUAUGAAUUUCUGUCUUCACAAUUUUUUACAGAGAGCUAUCACUCUCCCUAUCUUUUUGCAAGCACUAGUUUUAUUUGUUUCAUUUUUUCUUACAAUGUCUCUUUCCAUCCUCUUCUGAUUUGUUUAAGCAAAAUGUGGCAUACCUUCUAAACCUUUCACAUGCUCCAUAUUUUUUCUUCAAAA
This 261-nucleotide small RNA is filed under the name Arabidopsis thaliana (thale cress). Its description in RNAcentral is "ATSL091760". Lineage: Eukaryota; Viridiplantae; Streptophyta; Magnoliopsida; Brassicales; Brassicaceae. The record is from RNAcentral.